UCGGUUCCGGUUCACGCCGCGACUUCCCGGCUCGGGAAGGCGACCCGGAGCC
The sequence is a regulatory RNA element, 52 nucleotides long. It matches the Rfam family "L31-Actinobacteria ribosomal protein leader". The record is from Rfam.